GCGAGAGUGGCGGAAUUGGUAGACGCGCUGGAUUUAGGAUCCAGUUCCCAAUGGAGUGGGGGUUCAAAUCCCCCCUUUCGCACCA
RNAcentral lists this transfer RNA (85 nucleotides) under Candidatus Zixiibacteriota bacterium. RNAcentral's name for it is "candidate division Zixibacteria bacterium tRNA-Leu". It matches the Rfam family "tRNA". From Rfam's summary of the family: Transfer RNA (tRNA) molecules are approximately 80 nucleotides in length. Their secondary structure includes four short double-helical elements and three loops (D, anti-codon, and T loops). The record is from RNAcentral. Lineage: Bacteria; Pseudomonadati; Candidatus Zixiibacteriota. RNAcentral also lists the same sequence under 1 other name.